This 68-nucleotide transfer RNA is filed under the name Arctotherium sp. RNAcentral describes it as "tRNA-Tyr". It matches the Rfam family "tRNA". From Rfam's summary of the family: Transfer RNA (tRNA) molecules are approximately 80 nucleotides in length. Lineage: Eukaryota; Metazoa; Chordata; Mammalia; Carnivora; Ursidae. The record is from RNAcentral.
GGUAAAAUGGCUGAUAAAAGCAUUAGACUGUAAAUCUAAGUAUGAGGGUCAAAGUCCUCUUUUGCCAA